GGCCGCGUAUUUCAGUGGUAGAAGGUUCGCCUCCUAAAGUCUAUCACUUUUCAGACAGCGAAAGGUCCACGGUUCGAACCCGUGCUCGGUCG
Molecule: transfer RNA, 92 nt
Filed under: Tilletia controversa (dwarf bunt fungus)
Lineage: Eukaryota; Fungi; Basidiomycota; Exobasidiomycetes; Tilletiales; Tilletiaceae
Rfam family: tRNA
About the family: Transfer RNA (tRNA) molecules are approximately 80 nucleotides in length.
Source: Rfam by way of RNAcentral